GUUUGGGCCUUCGAUCAACUUCUUAUCAACAAAAAUGGACUUGCUUCCAUUCAACACAACUGUGGUGAUUGUCUCAACCAAGUGAGGAAUCCAAGCAAUCCCAUUUGGAAGAACCUUUUCAUCUUUUUCAUUCUUGUGGCAACGUCCACUGUUCUCAACCAAAACAACUGGAAUAUUCGACCCCUGAAUAUCAUUUUUGUUGAAAGAGGCACCA
Molecule: unclassified non-coding RNA, 214 nt
Filed under: Hevea brasiliensis (rubber tree)
Lineage: Eukaryota; Viridiplantae; Streptophyta; Magnoliopsida; Malpighiales; Euphorbiaceae
Source: RNAcentral